Non-coding RNA from Triticum aestivum (bread wheat), 123 nucleotides. NCBI's taxonomy places the organism in Eukaryota, Viridiplantae, Streptophyta, Magnoliopsida, Poales, Poaceae. The record is from Rfam.
UUUUUACUCCCUCCGUCCGUAAAUACUUGUCCUUAAAAUGGUUGUAUCUAGACUUAUUUAGUUAUAGAUAUAUUCAUUUUAUCCAUUUUGAAAACAAGUAUUCCCAGACGGAGGGAGUAUUUG